Long non-coding RNA from Pyrus x bretschneideri (Chinese white pear), 1116 nucleotides. RefSeq lists it as uncharacterized. NCBI's taxonomy places the organism in Eukaryota, Viridiplantae, Streptophyta, Magnoliopsida, Rosales, Rosaceae. The record is from RefSeq and is a predicted model, not a curated record. The transcript is spliced from 2 exons.
GACGAGGGUAAUGAAUACACAAAGACUCAAAACCAAACAAGCGUCUGUCUCUCUCUCUCUCUCUCUAGAACUACCAAACCGAGACUCUCCGUUACCCAAUAGCAAAAGUGAUCCUCUCAUCGUAAGCUUCCUGUCUAUACUUGUUUCGUGGUUGUGCUUGGAAGAUUGAGUUCGAGCUGGGCUGUACGAAAGUGGUUCAAAUUGUUGGAUUUGGGUAAGAACCCUAUAAACCCGAACCGUAAUUGCAGCCCUCUUUCGAUUUCUUAAGCGCUGGGCUUGAUUUCUGUGUGUGUGUUUUAGGGAUAUUGGGAAAACUAGCCAAAAUUAGAACCAUGAAUUGAAUUUUAGCCAAUUAUUAUGCUUUCAUUUAUAAUUCUAACCAUAUUUUGACAUAAAAGUACUUAAACACCCUUGUUAACUAGAAGUUGCUAAAGCUAGCAACUUCUGUGGCGAAUAGUCACUGAGAAUACCACCACCACCACCGUCAGAGCCUGAACCAUCAGGUGCAUUGCCGCCACUGUUAGACCCACCACCACCACUGUCAUCCCACUCACCAAUCAACGAAACCCGAUCGACGCCAUCUCACGGCCAUCUAUACGACUAUACCCAAUAAAACCACUAUCACCAUCCAAAUCAAUAACGAAGAAGAAAAGCCGGUUUAAUUAUGAGGUUUCACAUAGAAGGAAAAUCUCGAAAAAAACAGAGAUAGGUUUCUUCUGGUUUUUUGGAAAGGAAAAAGCUAUCUGGUGAGCACUGGAGUCUGGAGUACAGAACAUCUGGACUUCAAAUGAGCUUCUGAGGAGGUAGUGUGGUGGAUUGAGCUGCAGUGUAAUAAUAAAUAAUGCUAUACCGUGUGCCAUCUAUCCGGCUUGACGCUUGUCUCAGUGCAUGUGAGGGGUUCAGUUCUUUUGACAAGUCUCGUUAAGUUUGUGGGUCUUCACCAUUUUAUUCCACUUAUAGCUCAGAAAGGGCGGAUUACAGGUUUUACAAAUUGUGGUGGUGGUUGUGUAAGCUGGGUGAGCAUUGUAAUUAUGUUAGUUAACAAAGGGUAUUGUAGUAUUUUCAUGUCAAGCUUUGGUUAGAAUUAUAAAUAAUUAUAUUAGUUGGUUAAAAUUC